This 1140-nucleotide long non-coding RNA is filed under the name Dromaius novaehollandiae (emu). RNAcentral's name for it is "lncRNA (ENSDNVG00000016742.1)". Lineage: Eukaryota; Metazoa; Chordata; Aves; Casuariiformes; Dromaiidae. The record is from RNAcentral.
UGUGGAUCUGUUUUCUCUUUUCUGAAAGAAUACAGAGAUGUUUUGCUGGUUUCUCAGCAGGCCAUGUUAAAAGCAAAAUGGAUGCUUACUGUCCAGUUCAGAAUAAAAYAACUAGGCAUUCUCGGGGAACUGUAUCCUUAUGACAUGCUUCACAGCCCCUGACUGGAAAAAGCAAAAAGAAUAUUUAACCUUCAAAUAUGCAACAAUGCCCUAACUGGCAUGUAAAAUGCUGAUUUCACACCUGCCUACACACCUCCCUCUCAAACACUGACAUAACCCUCAUGUUCCCCAGAAGUUCCCGCUGCAACUCUUGCCGAAAGAACCCAGCAAAUCCAGAAUUCAGGCAUGUCACUGCAGAAUACUGUGACGCGCUUGAAUGAAACCCAAAGAAUCAUCCACUUUAUUGUAGAGAAUCUAUAAGCACCCAGGCCGAUUCUUGAAUCAACUMAGGAAAAGGCCUGCCCUCUUCAAAAAACACUAAGGAGCUAGACAAGCUUACUUCCAGCUGAGGGAAGCAUGUCAUACUGACUAUAAAACUUGUGAAAUUUAACAUGGUUGUGUUCACACGAACUGUGUAACUCUAACAUCCUAAAUUACUGUUCUCAUGGCACCAAUCCUACUCCACUUUCUGAGCCAGUAACAAAUCAGAAAAACACUACUGAAACAGAACAUAACAGGAGAAUUGCCUAUUUGUCUGUUUAGCCAUCCCCAUAUCCAUCCUAGGUACUUCUACAACGACCAUCUCUUUAUAGCUUACGUUCUCGGGACUGGAGACUAGAAGGAUUUGAGGCUUGUCAGAUGAUGACAUCAGGAUUGAAUUGCAGAGAUUUCUGCCUUCUGAAGUGCUACAAAAGUCAUUCUGGAAUUUCUUACUGCAAUUGUUUUUUUCUUCCCUGAUUGUUAGAGCCAGCUGCAGAGCCAACCACAUCUGGUUACUCCAAGUGCAGAGGCAAACGUAGCUAAGMGGUGGUGAUGAGAGUCUGGAUUUCACAGCGCCAGUUCCUGGUCUUGUCUGUCUAUCUGAUGAAGAUUGGUUUUGAAAUGCAUCCCAUCUCUGACUGGAGGGAAUGUGGCCAGGACAAGAGGCUUCCAGGGUUAAAAGCAGAUGAGUGUCUAUCCGAGUGAGUAUCCUCAAGUGUU